GCAGACGCGGCCGAAGGGCGGAGCGACACAGCCGCAGCGACCUAGUCGCCGCCAACCGCAGCGGGCCUAACGCCGCACAAGCGAAGAGCUACCGAUAGCUGCCACUCCUCUCCACCUGGGACAGCGGCCCUGCGCUCACCAUGUCGCGGCUUCCGAGCUGCCCGUGCUCCCCUCACAGCGGCGGCCACAGCGCAGCACACGCACCCACGGGGCCUCCCUGAGCCACGGAGUUCAGUCUACAACACGGCGGACAGAGAAAAUCCGCCUCCCACUGCCCUACCUCGCUCUUGAUUGAGUGGUGUAAGCUUGAAGGCCCUGAUUGGCUAGGUCCGCCCAGCGACUGCUGAUUGACAGCAGGAGCUGAAGUGAUGACCAGGCAGUCUCUGCCCUGGACUGCCUGCCUUUUACUCCAGCAUAUGGUCAGGAGAAUUUACAUUGACGCAGAACUUGUUCUUGUUCUUGGAGAGCUGGGCCCUGCUGUCUCAGUGAACUCGGCAAGCACUUCCUAGUCUAACAGGGUACCAGAUGGUUCUCGUAAGCAGUCCAGUUACCAACUCAGUGUCUAAUACAAUGGCCCCUGUGCCUCAGACCUAGGAGGCCAGUCAGACCACUCUGGUUCCAGUUGAUACUGAGAGGUUGAGAGCACAUGCUGCUCUUCAGAGGACCCAAGUUCAAUUUCCAGAACCCACAUCGGGUGACUCCAAACUGUCUGCAAAUACGGCUGCUUAGAGAACCCAGGACCACCAGUCCAGGGAUGGCCCCAGCCACAAUGGGCUUUCCCCCCAUUAAUCUCUAAUUUUUAAAAAUGACCUCACAGGCUUGCUUACAGCCCAAGCUCAUGGAGACAUUUUCAAUUGAGGCUCCCCACUCUGAUGACUCAAGCUUGUGUCAAAUUGACAUAAAACUAGCCUGCACAAAUAAACAUACCCAAUGC
Molecule: long non-coding RNA, 934 nt
Filed under: Mus musculus (house mouse)
Lineage: Eukaryota; Metazoa; Chordata; Mammalia; Rodentia; Muridae
Description: long non-coding RNA chr8:69749692-69750626
Source: RNAcentral